This is a long non-coding RNA of Centrocercus urophasianus (Greater sage-grouse), 1977 nucleotides long. RefSeq lists it as uncharacterized. The transcript has 3 exons. The record is from RefSeq and is a predicted model, not a curated record. NCBI's taxonomy places the organism in Eukaryota, Metazoa, Chordata, Aves, Galliformes, Phasianidae.
AAUGUCAGAGUCAGAAAUGAUUCGAGGUUUUUUUCUGGGAAAAAAAAAACUGUUCUGAGAAUUUUCUCUGCCCUACUGACUCUGAGGAGCCCUGGGGCUCCUGCUGUGAUCUGACCAUCCUGUCUGCUUGUUGUUCUGCCCAGCAAUCUAUAGAUUCUGCUCUGCUGCUUUCACGCAUGGCUGGAAAACCGUUUACCCUGUAAAACUCCCACAUUCCAGCUGGAGAAAGUCACAGCUAUUCUCAUUUCCAGAGACAUGCUUCCAAUCUCAUGGGCCAUCCCAUGGGCCUUGAUCCAGACCCCCUGCACCAUGGGUACCCCCUUCCCCAGGGCACAGCUCCCAGGGCAUCUCUGGCUGGGGAGAGGCGCUGGAGGGAGGUAGCUCAGCUCUGUUACCUCCAAUGCUGCUCUGUGCCUGCUGAGAACCUGGCCCUGUGUUUCCAUCCUGACUCCUCCCUUCCUGCCUUUCCAGGCCACACAUUCCCAAAAUAUCCCCUGUCCCUCAUUCAGGGAGGCAGAAGGUAGCGCUGACCCUGAUCUGUUUUGCAGACAGUGGCUGCUCCUCUCCGCCCCCUCAGAAAUUCUUUAUAAACAGCUGUUAAGUGAAGAAAUCACACCAAGAUGGUCGAUUUUUAUUUUAUUUUAUUUUGUAGCAUGGCUACAAGAGGAGAUUUGGGCUUUCCUCUGCUGGAUUUACAUCCAGUAGAUGAAGAAUGGCAAAGGACUGUCCCUUGUGAGAGCCUCUCCUUUGCAGGAGCCAGCAAUGCACAAAGAGCUGCUGUAAAUCAACCUGGCAGCAGCAAUAACAUCUGACAGUGCCAAAAGAGCCCCUCGUUGGCUUUGCUGUCUGGAAAUGCCUGGCCGAUGGCAGGCACACACGUGGAAAGUGGAGGAGCGAACUGCUGCACCAGGAAGAGUUAGUCAUUUGUCCAGGAUAAUUUUUCCAGGUGGAUUUUAUGAGAAGCACAAGGCAGGAGGAGGUACAGCGCAACAGAGUCAGCCACAUGGUGUGCAGUUCUGCCCCAUCCUUUAAGCAUGAUCCCCUCAAGUGUGAGAGCACCAGAAGAUGACGAAGGGAGUCAAAAGUCCUCCUUGGGGGUUUGACAUCUGUGCUCAGGCUGUUGAAGCCCACAUUCAGCCACCUGCAAGGGAUGCAGAGCCAGCUCGGAUUUUGGCUGGGCUGGCUGAGACCCAGAGCUGCUGACCAAAGUGGAGCUGUACCAGACAGACAGGAACGUGGCUGAAGUCUGUGAUUCCGUGGUAUCCUGUUCACCCUCAUACAAACCAGGCCACUUCUGCAGGAGUUCAGCACUUCUCUAGAAGAGAACCUGGGAGGUAAUCCAGUGACGACCAGUCCCUGAGAUGAAUGCAGCAGUGAUAAGCUCUGCUUAUCAGGGCUUAUCAGGGCAAAUACAGGCAGCAUUGUAUACAAUGAGAAAAGUCAUGGAAAUAGAGAAUACAGCAGGUAGAAGAUUUUGACUUUCAGUAAAGCACUGGCUCUGAAAUUAUUUCAGGAUCCUGUGGUUACUUCUGGAGAUAAACUUAUGCACUGAGACACAGUGAAAUGACUGCAUGCAAAGGUGGUGAGGCUCUGUAGGUUGCUGGUUUGGCCCUCUGAGACUGCAGGAGUCUCAGGGAGCAGGGAGCACAGCUCAAAUGCCUCAUGCAGGAUGUGGAAAAUGAUAGAGCAUUUGUAGAUACAUAACCCUAGGAUUAUGGCAUAAUGCCAGUCCAGGGGAAACCCAGAUGGCCAGUGAGAUGCCCAAAAGCAUUUCCAGUGAAAAGGCAAAGCUGGAAGAGCCAGGGAAGAGGAGCUGAUGGCAUGAUGUUACAACCAUAGUCGCUCCCAGGGCUGCACAUGGAGGCUGAGCUCAGGUCUCCAUGUGCCUGAAGGUUUGUUUUGGGGACAGAAAUAACAGGAUAAAUUGUUUUGAGGAUGAACAGGUGUGCUUGAGAGUUGCUUUAUUUUUUUUUUUUU